ACGGCUCGCCGAGCUUCGAGAAC
This 23-nucleotide microRNA is filed under the name Caenorhabditis elegans. RNAcentral describes it as "cel-miR-8211-3p". Lineage: Eukaryota; Metazoa; Nematoda; Chromadorea; Rhabditida; Rhabditidae. The record is from miRBase by way of RNAcentral.